RNAcentral lists this ribosomal RNA (967 nucleotides) under Enterobacter hormaechei subsp. hormaechei. Its description in RNAcentral is "bacterial SSU rRNA". It matches the Rfam family "Bacterial small subunit ribosomal RNA", at positions 32 to 998 of the family's 1533-position model. The record is from RNAcentral. Lineage: Bacteria; Pseudomonadati; Pseudomonadota; Gammaproteobacteria; Enterobacterales; Enterobacteriaceae.
GGCAUGGGCGGCAGCUACACAUGCAGUCGAACGGUAACAGGAAGCAGCUUGCUGCUUUGCUGACGAGUGGCGGACGGGUGAGUAAUGUCUGGGAAACUGCCUGAUGGAGGGGGAUAACUACUGGAAAGGUAGCUAAUACCGCAUAACGUCGCAAGACCAAAGAGGGGGACCUUCGGGCCUCUUGCCAUCGGAUGUGCCCAGAUGGGAUUAGCUAGUAGGUGGGGUAACGGCUCACCUAGGCGACGAUCCCUAGCGGUCUGAGAGGAUGACCAGCCACACUGGAACUGAGACACGGUCCAGACUCCUACGGGAGGCAGCAGUGGGGAAUAUUGCACAAUGGGCGCAAGCCUGAUGCAGCCAUGCCGCGUGUAUGAAGAAGGCUUCGGGUUGUAAAGUACUUUCAGCGGGGAGGAAGGCGACAGGGUUAAUAACCCUGUCGAUUGACGUUACCCGCAGAAGAAGCACCGGCUAACUCCGUGCCAGCAGCCGCGGUAAUACGGAGGGUGCAGCGUUAAUCGGAAUUACUGGGCGUAAAGCGCACGCAGGCGGUCUGUCAAGUCGGAUGUGAAAUCCCCGGGCUCAACCUGGGAACUGCAUUCGAAACUGGCAGGCUAGAGUCUUGUAGAGGGGGGUAGAUUCCAGGUGUAGCGGUGAAAUGCGUAGAGAUCUGGAGGAAUACCGGUGGCGAAGGCGGCCCCCUGGACAAAGACUGACGCUCAGGUGCGAAAGCGUGGGGAGCAAACAGGAUUAGAUACCCUGGUAUCCACGCCGUAGACGAUGUCGACUUGGAGGUUGUGCCCUUGAGGCGUGGCUUCCGGAGCUAACGCGUUAAGUCGACCGCCUGGGGAGUACGGCCGCAAGGUUAAAACUCAAAUGAAUUGACGGGGGCCCGCACAAGCGGUGGAGCAUGUGGUUUAAUUCGAUGCAACGCGAAGAACCUUACCUACUCUUGACAUCCAGAGAACUU